UCCAUUACUCGUUAUUUAUUCCAUAAAAAAAAUCAACCUGUAAAAUCAUAUGAUAACAAAUAUAUACAAGACUUUGUUCAAAUUCAUUGUUUUAGGAUAUAAUAUCACAACCAUAUGAGUUUUUUUUACCGAGAGAUUACUUCAUUAGCCACUUAUUUCAAAUAUGACCCUUAAUUUUACAUAUAGAUCCCUAAUUAUUAUCAAGAUUAUUGCAGACAGGUCGCCCACCGAGGUUGAUAGUGUGAGAGACAUGGCCCCACUUGGCUCGCGCUCGCCGCCGAUGAGCUCGCCAUGGCGCGCCGCAUCAGACCUCGGAGGCGGCUCGCACGCGCCGCUCCGUCUCCUCCUACCACCACCUCGUCGUCGUCGCCCUCCUCCGCCGUCUCUCCGCUUCCCCCCGCCAAAAUCCACCGAAUCCCAUAGGCGGCAGCCGGGACUGGACGAUUUGAGCCGAAUGCGCUCGAGUUGUUUCAAAUGGUGACGAAAAAAAAAAAGAUGAUGAGCACAUGAUUGGAAUCUCGUCCGUGGUUCAGCUGAUCAGUUCCUUCCAUAUAUUUGGGGGAAAUGUGUUUUUUUAUCGCUGAAAUGUGGUGUUUAUUGCUCCCUUCCCUCACCUGCAAAUAAUAAAUUGGUUGAAAGAGAAGAGUUCAGAAUUGCAAAUGGAAUUAGGUUGAACCGUCACUUUCCUGUAAUUUAAUUUGUACGGUGUACUUAUACAUUAAGAUGUUGCCAAAAUGUGACAAUUGCGUAGGGAAGAUGUUGACAAGAACAUGGCGGCUUGGCUAUACGAAGAUGCUGACUACUUUGUUCAUAGUUUAGUCAUCCGCAACGUGAAUCAGGCCUGCGAAUCUGAGACUUGUUUAACUCAAACUCCUCCAGAUUCGCUGUAUUAGAACCGUUGAAUUGAAUCAAAAUAAUACUAUGUACCAAAGCUUAUUCUUUUUUAUGUCUUUUCAGUGCUAAACUAGGUUGUAGUGGAGUAGUAGGAUGCCAUUGAAAUUUAGAUUAUUGGGAGAGUAUAAUGCCCUUUUACUCGUCAUUUGUUUUCUGAACUUCUGGUACCAAUCCUGAUUUGUGAGGGUAAAAUUGGAUUACCAAACAUCUCCUGGGUUUAGAUGGUUACUGAUUGUGAGCAACUCCAUUAGAAUUUGGUAGCUUCUUAUUUCAAAGUGAGGAGAUUGAAUGAUUGAUUGCGGUAACAACUUCUUGUUUCUCGCCAGGCGAGGAGCCGAUCUGAAAGGAAUAUGAAGUAGCCAAUGAUGAUCUCUAUGAGUAUAUCCUUUCUUCAGAUUAAGUAUGUAUAAUGCCAUUGAAAUGCUUAGCAUGACACUUGAGAUUAAGUACUCUACAGGCUACAGCAUUGAAGCGAUUAGCAUAUACCACUUCUUCAGAUCAAGCAUACACCAUUGAAAUGCUUAGCAUGUCACUUGGGACUCGGAUACAACAUGGGAAUGCUUAGCUUGCCACUUCUUCAGAUUAAGUACACACCAUUGAAAUUCUUAGCAUGUCACUUCACAUAACCAUAAGAAACAUGAAAACCGGAGUACAUACACAAUCAUAGCAAGAAACAUGAAAAUACUGGAGUACAUGUAACUUUGCACGGGUCCGAAAAGGCAGCAGAAACACAUGCAGCAGAGAUGACUGGGCUGCACCUCCUGCACAGCUGCACUGCCAGAACGGACACACUAUCCAUCACUGCGCCGGGACAGAAGAACAGCACGCAAUCUCUCAAGAUAAUUUCCCAGAGAGACGCACCCCCCACACCCAACCCAACCUUGCAGAAGAUUCCCAAUUCCACCAGAGAAGUUGCAGCUCCCCUCUCUCUGCAUGAAUGAAUGAAUGAAUGAAUUGGAGAGCAGCAGCAGCAGCAGCAGCAGGGCCAAAGGAGAAUGGGACCAUUGCCUGACCAACACCAGCAGCAGCAGCAGCUCAGGCUUUUCAUGUGCUGGAGCCUGCCUGGAACAGCACAAGCGACAGCAGCUACCAUCAA
Long non-coding RNA from Oryza sativa Japonica Group (Japanese rice), 1990 nucleotides. RefSeq lists it as uncharacterized. Lineage: Eukaryota; Viridiplantae; Streptophyta; Magnoliopsida; Poales; Poaceae. The record is from RefSeq and is a predicted model, not a curated record.